This 72-nucleotide transfer RNA is filed under the name Ictidomys tridecemlineatus (thirteen-lined ground squirrel). RNAcentral's name for it is "Spermophilus tridecemlineatus (thirteen-lined ground squirrel) tRNA". It matches the Rfam family "tRNA". Rfam says of the family: Transfer RNA (tRNA) molecules are approximately 80 nucleotides in length. Lineage: Eukaryota; Metazoa; Chordata; Mammalia; Rodentia; Sciuridae. The record is from Rfam by way of RNAcentral.
UGGGUUGUAGCUCAGUGGUAGAGCAAUUGCCUCUCAUGCUUGAGGCCCUAGGUUCAAUCCUCAGCAUUACAU